RNAcentral lists this long non-coding RNA (2527 nucleotides) under Homo sapiens (human). RNAcentral describes it as "HSALNT0339352". Lineage: Eukaryota; Metazoa; Chordata; Mammalia; Primates; Hominidae. The record is from RNAcentral.
CUGUGCAAAGAACAGAGGCAAGCCUCCAGCCAGGAGCUCAUGAAAUCAUGAACUGAGGCCUCAGUGCAAUAGCUCAUGAGGAAAUGAAUUAUUUCAACAGCCAGGUUUGUACUAUUCGAAAAGGGCAAGCAUUGGCAUUACUCAUGAACAUUAUGUGAUACAGUGAAAUGAUCACUAGGCUUAAUUUUGAACUGGGGAUAAUGCUAUCUGUGAUAAUCAACUCUCAGGGUUGCUCUGAAGACUAAAGCCCUGGGAUCAUUCAUUUUAAAAGAAAAGAACGGUGACUCAUCAUUUCAAGCUUUUCAUUCUGGAAGUUGGAAGUACAAGAUCAGAUUGCCAGCAUCAUCAGGUACUCAUGAGGGCCGUCUUCCAGCUUGCAGACUGCCAACUUCUCAUUGUGUCCUCAGGUGAGAAAAAUUUGGCUCGUGGUGAUAGUCUUGGAUAUCACCUUCAUCCCCUCGGAUGUUUGUAGAUAAUCCUCCAUUAUAUUUGGAAUGAAUACUGUAGAUAUAUGAGGUUGGACUAUCCUACGUUUUGCUUGUUUAUGGGUUUUGCAUCUUGAUGUCUUCCUGAAGUAUUCUUCAUGGGGAAUUUCCAAAUCAACCACAAUUUGAUAUCAAAGUAAUGUCAAGUGCUUCUGACCCACUGCAUUAAACGUGUGCUGAGCAGUUGGUGGUAGAAGACAUUAUUGUGAAGGCUGCUCACCACCAAUUUCAUCACUGUUGCUAACUCCAGCUCAUCUAAUCUCUGCAACAUCUGCUACCAGCACCUUCUCUUGCCUCCUUUUGUGAACAUAGUUUUUUCUUCUGGUUAGAAAAUCAGUUCGAACUUCUUGAGUUUUGUGUUUUAAACUCUUCUCAACUGUUCCGAUGAUUGAUGGAUGGCCCAGAGGCGACCUCUUUAUCUCCAGCAACAUAUUUGGCUGUUGGCCCGGUAGAGAGGUACUCCAGAAGCUUGCUGGUUCAUCAUGCUCUCAUCUUUAACCACAACUAUUUAUCUGACUCCUUCCAUCUCCACAGCACUGUGUGAGGGAUCAGUGAUAAGAGACGGUGAAAGACAUGCGCAAAUGGAUAAAUAAUAAGCAGGAUAUGUAGAAUGACACAACAAUUGAUGAGUAAUUUAGGAGAUCCAAUAACUAAAAAAAAAAAGACUGGGGACAAGUUCAUGGAAAGAGUAAUCAACUAAGCCUUAUAACAUAAAAUUGACAAAUAGAGAAGGCAUGCAAUCCAGUAGAAUAGAGUGCAAAAGAGGUAGAAGACUAAUCGUUUCAAGACAUGUUGAGCCACAACAGCAAUAACAUUGUGACAAAAAACGUCGGUGUAGACUGCAGAAGAUCUUCAAUGACGGAUCAAGCUGUAUAGACUUUUUUUUACCCUCAUAUACUGAAUAGUCAUUUAAGGUAUACAGUGCCAACGUAAGAGAGAAAGGUAAACUUUUUUUAACACAAGUUGUAGGCCUUGGAAAGAAGUUUUCCAGUAACAAGAUAACACGAUAAUGUACUGUGGUUAUAAGCUCAAAGUGGUAUAUUUGAUUCAGUGUUCCCAGAACCACCAAAACCUUGGAACCAUUGUUUAGCUAAAGCUACUAGAACAACAGAAUAACCUACUCUGUGGCAUUGUAAAGUAAAAUUAUACUACACACAAAUACUUGACAUAAAAUACAUUUCCAAACUCAAUUAUUAGGGAUAACAUAAGCACAAAAUGAUGCUUUGCAAACAUCAUGUAUCCUAUAACUGGAGAAAAAAAAUUAAUGACAUGAAGUGAAAUGACUGAGUUCUGAAGCUACAUCUCAAUUUAAAUAGCAUAAGCAAUUUAGUAUACAACAUUCUUCAAAAUCAAUUGUUGAAGGUUAACUAUAAUCUACAUACAAAAACAACUUUGUCAACUUUUUGUACGGAUUUUCCUUCUAAACAUAUUUACUUUAUGUGUAAAAUCAAAAAAUUUCCUGAGUUAAAGGCUAAGACUUGACUUUAUGAAUACAUGCCCAAAAAUUGGUGGUGGCUGGUUUCUGUUUUUAUUUUGUAAGCUUAGUAUAAUGGUUGUCCAGAACUUGUAAGCAAUGACCUCAUUUCUAAGCGGACAAGAUGCAAAAGACCAUUUUUACAGAUUAACCAUCUGGUUCCUUUAGGAAGAGUAAUAUUUCAACAGGUUCCUGUAUUUCAAGAAUAUAAAUAAUUAAAAAGAUGAAGAUAUGUGAAAUACACAAAGAAAAAAAUAGAGAAAAUAGCAUUUAAAGCAAAUUAUCCUAGCUCCCUCAAUUAAUAUUUUAAAACCAUGACAAUCAGUUAUUAAUAUAAAUUGUUAAUUUUAUUUAAUACAACAUCAAUAUAAUUCAUACCAUCUUCUUCAACUAGGUGGUCUAUCAUUUUGGAGUUUCUUUCCACCUCUGGAGAAUUGCUCAGGAAAUCUGGCUAACAUACCAAAUAAAUCAAAUGGAUUUAAUGAGAUGGUUUUUGGCUAGUUUCUAUAUUCUUGUAUACACAUGCAUGUAACACAUAAAUGUGGUGCUGUUCACAGUUAGAGGCGCA